GAUGAACGCUGGCGGCGUGCCUAAUACAUGCAAGUCGAGCGAACAGACGAGGAGCUUGCUCCUCUGACGUUAGCGGCGCACGGGUGUGUAACACGUGGAUAAUCUACCUAUAAGACUGGGAUAAUUUCGGGAAACCGGAGCUAAUACCGGAUAAUAUAUUGCACCGCAUGGUUCAAUAGUGAAAGACGGUUUUGCUGUCACUUCUAGAUGGAUCCGCGCCGCAUUAGCUAGUUGGUAAGGUAACGGCUUUUCAAGGCGACGAUGCGUAGCCGACCUGAGAGGGUGAUCGGCCACACUGGAGCUGAGACACGGUCCAGGCUCCUACGGGAGGCAGCAGUAGGGAAUCGUCCGCAAUGGGCGAAAGCCUGACGGAGCAACGCCGCGUGUGUGAUGAAGGUCUUCGGAGCGUAAAACUCUGUUAUUAGGGAAGAACAAAUGUGUAAGUAACUAUGCACGUCUUGACGGUACCUAAUCAGAAAGCCACGGCUAACUACGUG
Molecule: ribosomal RNA, 497 nt
Filed under: uncultured bacterium
Lineage: Bacteria
Description: partial 16S ribosomal RNA
Rfam family: Bacterial small subunit ribosomal RNA
Source: RNAcentral